RNAcentral lists this long non-coding RNA (430 nucleotides) under Mytilus galloprovincialis (Mediterranean mussel). Lineage: Eukaryota; Metazoa; Mollusca; Bivalvia; Mytilida; Mytilidae. The record is from RNAcentral.
CAUAUAUAACCAUUUUGCAAAAUUAUCUGAAAAGUGGUUCUUGGUUGUAGGGAUAUAUAAGUCCCUUCCUACCCUCUCAAAUACAUUUUAAUGGAAUAGCCCCGACUGAAAAACAGUAUUGUUUGACUGUAUUUGAUUUUUAUUGUUUGUCUUACAUCCAAAAGGCAAAUCAAAUUAAACAUAUCCAGGAAUUCAUGGGGUCAAGAUAUCUUAUUUGAAAUUGCCAUUAGUCAACAGAAACAAAUCCAUUAAAUCAACAUACAUAUACAAGAAGUAGCCUGGAUAUAGUUUGCAUAUAAGAUUCUUAAAGAAUAUCAAAAAUUUGCAGUCAUAACAAAAGAUCUAACAGAUACAGGAUUACUUUUAGUACGUAGAUUUGAUGUUUAAAACUUAUUCUUGUUUGGUGGAGGCAACAAUAAUUCUAAUAAGG